UGGUGUUGAAAUCAUGAAAUUAAGGAGGUACGUGCCAGAAGAGACUCUAUAUAUACAGCCUCCUUACUAUUCAAAUCAUAUCUCUCAUAUACACAAUUCAAUCUUCUUCUUCACAAAAAAAUCAUGAAUUUUCUGUCAUCGUUGGCUAAGAGCGCCGGAGCCGGCGACGAUUCCCAAAAAGCCGGCGAGGAAUCAGGUUCGACAACAGAGCUUUUCGCCAGUGCUAAAGUGUUAGCAGAUGCUGCUCAGAGUCAAUUCAACAAAGAUUCCGAAAAAAUCGAUAACAAAAAAGUGGCUGAAGCAGCAGCCGAUGUGCUCGACGCUGCACAGAAAUACGGAAAAUUAGACGAAACUCAAGGAAUUGGACAGUACGUUGAGAAGGCCCAAACUUAUCUCCACCAGUACGGUGGCGAUAAGGCUCCGGCCGCCGCACCGGUUGCUGAAGAAGCAAAAGCACCAGCGCCUGCAUCGGAAUCGGAUCCGGCGCCGGAGCCGGUUGUUGAAGGAGAUAAGGAGGAGGAAAAAAAGAGUGAAGGAGCUGAUUAUCUUAAGAUGGCUGGUGAUUUCUUAAGCAAGAAGUAAUUAGAGUUUAAUUAACUUUUUUUAAAAUUAUGGCUGAUGUUAUAUUUCAGUUUUUUUUUUCUUAAUUUGCCACUGUUCACUGCCGGCGCCGGCGCCGGAGUUGGGUUUAUGUAAUAUGUAUGUAAGUUGUGUGUAUUUCAGUGAAAUUUGUGUUUGUUUGAAUUUAUUAGUGUUAUCUUCGUUGCUUCUAGGAAAUAAGUCAAGAACAAAGAUUAAUCUUAUUUUUGAGAGAUAAAUAUCUCAUAUAUAUUAUGCG
This 838-nucleotide unclassified non-coding RNA is filed under the name Hevea brasiliensis (rubber tree). Lineage: Eukaryota; Viridiplantae; Streptophyta; Magnoliopsida; Malpighiales; Euphorbiaceae. The record is from RNAcentral.